This is a non-coding RNA of Erythranthe guttata (spotted monkey flower), 1158 nucleotides long. The record is from RefSeq and is a predicted model, not a curated record. NCBI's taxonomy places the organism in Eukaryota, Viridiplantae, Streptophyta, Magnoliopsida, Lamiales, Phrymaceae.
UUUGUAUAAGUUGAGGAUGGUAUUGCCAAAUUGUUGGCUUUGAGGAUUUUCUGCGUAAGCAACAUAAUAUGUUGAUUGACAUAAUCAUGUAUCUAAUCUGUUUAAUGAAGAGUAGAUUAAUCCCUGUAUCCAAAGCCGGUUCGAUAAUAUACUUCCAGAGUCAUUGCAUUCAAUAAAAAAAAUUCUCAGGGAGUUUCAUAUAGGGUGAGGAUAAGUAAUUAUGAUUCUAUAAGUUUUGAAAUAUUAUUUUCAUUAGUUAACUACAUCCAAAUCAUUGGUUUUAGGUUAAUCAAAUUGAAGAAGUGGAUAAUGCAUCUUGAAAGGUACUUCUCUUUUACUUAAAUAAUAAAGUCAAGUAAUGACUCUUUACAUGAACGGUUGUACGAAUAUAUACAUUAAUGUAUACCGGCACCUUAAACUGAAGUUAUAUACACACAUAUAACAUACAGUCAUUAGUAGUAGUGCUUGAGAAUUUAUUUACAAAAUAUUUUACUUCAUUUUACAUUUUGGUAGAAACUAGAGAAUGUACAUAUUUCACCAACUUGCUCUAUCACGAAUAAGGUUCGUAUUUAAUUACUUCUUGUACUUCAUUCCUUAGAUAAUUUCAAAUAUUACACAAUGGAACAAUUUUAAUAGUUUGAUUAGUUUAUUGAUUGUCAGUGACUAUUUCGACUCAAAUCUUAUUUGCAAGUUAGUAGAUUGGAGUGGAACAAAUGAAAUAGUUGAUGAAGGAUGUGUGAUAUCAACUGAUCCAAAAGAAGUUGUCGGUCAAAUUCCACUUGGACCUAAUGCAAUGUAAGUUUUGGUUGAUAUUCAAAUUAAACCCAUAUACUUUUUGUGGAGGCCUACUGUGUAUGACUCGUAUUCAACACACUCAGGGUAUGACAAUAGCUUGGCCUGCCGAGAGGUUUAUUCGGAAAUGGAGAAAUUAGAAAGUCGCUAUGCAACGGAAGCUUGGUUUGGAGAGCUUGAAUGUGGAUUUAAUGAUGGUUCAUGUUUCUUUCUUUUUUUCUUUUUUUUUCGGUUUUAUUUCAAACUGCUGCGAUUUAGAAUGAUGUUUUGGUAGUAUUGACUUGAAUAUUACCGAAUCAUAUUAACGUAAUAUGAUAUUCAUAUUUUAUUUGGGUUGUUAAUAAUAUCCUAAAGGUUAUUCUUUUA